This 5816-nucleotide long non-coding RNA is filed under the name Triticum aestivum (bread wheat). RNAcentral's name for it is "long non-coding RNA (TAES_LNC017521)". Lineage: Eukaryota; Viridiplantae; Streptophyta; Magnoliopsida; Poales; Poaceae. The record is from RNAcentral.
UCUUGGGGUGCCAUGGGCAUCCCCAAUCUUAGUAUCUUGUCACUCCUUUUUCCAUAAUCCAUCAAAUCUUUCACCCAAAACUUGAAAACUUCACAACACAAAACUUAACAGAAAAUCUCGUGAGCUCCGUUAGCGAAAGAAAACAAAACACCACUUCAAGGUACUGUAAUGAACUCAUUCUUUAUUUAUAUUGGUGUUAAACCUACUUUAUUCCAACUUCUCUAUGGUUUAUAAACUAUUUUAUUAGCCAUAGAUUCAUCAAAAUAAGCAAACAACACACGAAAAACAGAAUCCGUCAAAAACAGAACAGUCUGUAGUAAUCUGUAACUAACGCAAACUUCUGGAACUCCAAAAACUCAGCCAAAAUAGGAAGACCUAGACAAUUUGUUUAUUGAUCAUAAGCAAUUUGAAUCAAUAUUUUAUCACGUUCUGGUGAUUUUUAACAAUUAUUUUCAUGAACAUAAAGUUUCUGGAAUUUUCAGCAAGAUCAAAUAACUAUCAUCCAAGAAGAACCUAUAGGUUAAACUUGGCACAAACACUAAUUAAAACAUAAAAACAAAUCUAACCAGAGGCUAGAUCAAAUAUUUAUUCCUAAGAAAAAAAGAAAAAACUAAAAAAAUAAAACUGGGUUGCCUCCCAACAAGCGCUAUCGUUUAACGCCCCUAGCUAGGCAUAAUAGCAAGGAUAGAUCUAGGUAUUGCCAUCUUUGGUAGGCAAUCCAUAAGUGGCUCUCAUAAUAGAUUCAUAAGGUAAUUUUAUUUUCUUUCUAGGGAAGUGUUCCAUGCCUUUUCUUAACGGAAAUUGGAAUCUAAUAUUCCCUUCCUUCAUAUCAAUAAUUGCACCAAUCGUUCUAAGGAAAGGUCUACCAAGAAUAAUAGGACAUGAAGGACUGCAAUCUAUAUCAAGAACAAUAAAAUCUAUGGGCACAUAAUUCCUAUUUUCCAAAAUAAGAACAUCAUUAAUUCUUCCCAUAGGUUUCUUAAUGGUGGAAUCCGCAAGGUGUAAGUUUAAAGAGCAAUCAUCAAAAUCACAGAAACCUAGCAAAUCGCACAAAGUUUUUGGAAUCGUGGAAACACCAGCACCCAAAUCACAUAAAGCAUAGCAUUCAUGAUCUUUAAUUUUAAUUUUAAUAGUAGGUUCCCACUCAUCAUAAAGUUUUCUAGGGAUAGAAACUUCCAACUCAUGUUUUUCUUCAUAAGAUUGCAUCAAAGCAUCAACGAUGUGUUUGGUAAAGGCUUUAUUUUGACUAUAAGCAUGUGGAGAAUUUAGCACGGAUUGCAACAAGGAAAUACAACCUAUCAAAGAGCAAUUAUCAUAAUUAAAAUCCUUGAAAUCCAAAAUAGUGGGUUCAUUAAUAUCUAGAGUUUUGAUCUCUUCAAUCCCACUUUUACCAAUUUUUGCAUCAAGAUCUAAAAACUGCGAAUUUUUGGAACGCCUUCUAGGUAAAUGUGGAUCAUACUCAGUGCCAUCAUUAUCAAGAUUCAUAUUGCAAAAAAAAGAUUUAAUAGGGAAAACAUCAAUAACUUUUAGAUCUUCAUCUUUAUUUUCAUAGAAACUAGAAGAACACGCUUUCACAAAACAAUCUUUCUUAGCACGCAUCCUAGCGGUUCUUUCUUUGCACUCAUCAAUGGAAAUUCUCAUGGCAUUGAGAGACUCAUUGAUAUCAUGCUUAGGUGGAAUAGAUCUAAGUUUCAAAGAAUCAACAUCAAGAGAAAUUCUAUCAACGUUCCUAGCUAAUUCAUCAACUUUAAGCAAUUUUUCUUCAAGCAAAGCAUUGAAAUUCUUUUGCGAAUUCAUAAACUCCUUAACACUAGUCUCAAAUUCAGAGGGCAUCUUAUUAAAAUUUCCAUAAGAAUUGUUGUAUGAAUUACCAUAAUUAUUAGAGGAAUUACUAGGAUACGGCCUAGGAUUAAAGUUUCCUCUAUACGCGUUGUUACCAAAAUUAUUCCUACCAACAAAAUUCACAUCCAUAGAUUCAUUAUUACUCUCAAUCAAAGUAGACAAAGGCAUAUCAUUAGGAUUAGAAGAAACACUUUUAUUAGCAAAUAAUUUCAUAAGUUCAUCCAUCUUUCCACUGAAAACAUUAAUUUCUUCUAUCGCAUGCACUUUCUUAUUAGUAGAUCUUUCAGUGUGCCAUUGAGAAUAAUUAACCAUAAUAUUAUCUAGGAGUUUAGUAGCUUAUCCUAAAGUGAUUUCCAUAAAAGUGCCUCCCGCGGCCGAAUCUAAAAGAUUUCUAGAAGCAAAAUUCAAUCCGGCAUAAGAACUUUGUAUAAGCAUCCACAAAUUCAAACCAUGAGUAGGGCAAUUACGUAUCAUUAAUUUCAUCCUCUCCCAAGCUUGUGCAACAUGUUCAUGAUAAAGUUGCUUAAAAUUCAUGAUAUCGUUUCUAAGAGAGAUGAUCUUAGCGGGAGGAAAAUACUUAGAGAUAAAAGCAUCUUUGCACUUAUUCCAAGAAUCAAUACUAUUUUUAGGCAAAGACGAAAACCAAGCUUUAGCACGAUCUCUAGGCAAAAAAGGAAAUAGCUUCAAUUUAACAAUAUCAUUGUCCACAUCUUUCUUCUUUUGCAUAUCACACAAAUCAACGAAGCUAUUUAGAUGGGUAGCGGCAUCUUCACUAGGAAGGCCGGCGAAUUGAUCUUUCAUGACAAGAUUCAACAAAGCAGCAUUAAUUUCACAAGAUUCAGUAUCGGUAAGAGGAGCAAUCGGAGUGCUAAGGAAAUCAUUGUUGUUGGUAUUGGUAAAGUCACACAAUUUGGUAUUAUCUUGAGCCAUCGUGACAAGCAAGCAAUCCAACACACGAGCAAACAAGAAGCACGCGAAAAAGAGGCGAACGGAAAAGAGAGGGCGAAUAAAACGGCAAGGGUGAAGUGGGGGAGAGGAAAACGAGAGGCAAAUGGCAAAUAAUGUAAUGCGGGAGAUAAGGGUUUGUGAUGGGUACAUGGAGCAAUAAAAAAUUAUAGAUACGUUGGAGACGUAUGAAGCAUCCCCAAGCUUAAUUCCUGCUCAUCCUCGAGUAGGUAAAUGAUAAAAACAGAAUUUUUGAUGCGGAAUGCUACUUGGCAUAAUUUCAAUGUAAUUCUUCUUAAUUGUGGUAUGAAUAUUCAGAUCCGAAAGAUUCAAGAUAAAAGUUCAAUAUUGACAUAAAAAUAAUAAUACUUCAAGCAUACUAACUAAGCAAUUAUGUCUUCUCAAAAUAACAUGGCCAAAGAAAGUUAUCCCUACAAAAUCAUAUAGUCUGGCUAUGCUCUAUCUUCACCACACAAAAUAUUUAAAUCAUGCACAACCCGAUGACAAGCCAAGCAAUUGUUUCAUACUUUUGACAUUCUCAAACUUUUUCAAUCUUCACGCAAUACAUGAGCGUGAGCCAUGGACAUAGCACUAUAUGUGGAAUAGAAUGGUGGUUGUGGAGAAGACAAAAAGGAGAAGAUAGUCUCACAUCAACUAGGCGUAUCAAAGGGCUAUGGAGAUGCCCAUCGAUAGAUAUCAAUGUGAGUGAGUAGGGAUUGCCAUGCAAUGGAUGCACUAGAGCUAUAAGUAUAUGAAAGCUCAACAAAAGACACUAAGUGGGUGUGCAUCCAACUCGCUUGCUCACGGAGACCUAGGGCAUUUUGAGGAAGCCCAUCAUUGGAAUAUACAAGCCAAGUUCUAUAAAAAAUUCCCACUAGUAUAUGAAAGUAAUAUCAUAGGAGACUCUCUAUCAUGAAGAUCAUGGUGCUACUUUGAAGCACAAGUGUGGUAAAAGGAUAGUAACAUUGUCCCUUCUCUCUUUUUCUCUCAUUUUUUUAUUUGGGCCUUUUUUCUCUUUUUUUAUGGCCUCUUUUUUUUUCGUCCGGAGUCUCAUCCCGACUUGUGGGGGAAUAAUAGUCUCCAUCAUCCUUUCCUCACUUGGGACAGUGCUCUAAAAUUGAUGAUCAUCACACUUUUAUUUUCUUACAACUCAACAAUUACAACUCGAUACUUAGAACAAAAUAUGACUCUAUAUGAAUGCCUCCGGCGGUGUACCGGGAUAUGCAAUGAAUCAAGAGUGACAUGUAUGAAAGAAUUAUGAACGGUGGCUUUGCCACAAAUACAAUGUCAACUACAUGAUCAUGCAAAGUAAUAUGACAAUGAUGAAGCGUGUCAUAAUAAAAGAAACGGUGGUAUGUUGCAUGUCAAUAUAUCUCGGAAUGACUAUGGAAAUGCCAUGAUAGGUAGGUAUGAUGGCUGUUUUGAGGAAGGUAAAUGGUGGGUGUAUGAUACCGGCGAAAAGUGCGCGGUAUUAGAGAGGCUAGCAAUGGCGGAAGGAAGAAGGGUGCGUAUAAUCCAUGGACUCAACAUUAGUCAUAAAGAACUCAUAUACUUAUUGCAAAAAUCUACAAGUAUCAAAGCAAAGUAUUACGCGCAUGCUCCUAGGGGGAUAGAUUGGUAGGAAAAGACCAUCGCUCGUCCCCGACCGCCACUCAUAAGGAAGACAAUAAAUAAAUAAAUCAUGCUCCGACUUCAUCACAUAACGGUUCACCAUACGUGCAUGCUACGUGAAUCACAAACUUUAACACAAGUAUUUCUCAAAUUCACAACUACUCAACUAGCAUGACUCUAAUAUCACCAUCUUCAUAUCUCAAAACAAUUAUCAAGCAUCAAACUUCUCAUAGUAUUCAACACACUCAUACGAAUUUUUUUUACUAAUCUUAUAUGCCUAUUAUUGUUAAAGCAAACUACCAUGCUGUUUUGUAGGACUCAAAAUAAUCUAAGUGAAGCAUGAGAGAACAAUAGUUUCUAUAAAACAAAAUCACCACCGUGCUCUAAAAGAUAUAAGUGAAGCACUAGAGCAAAAACUAUAUAACUCAAAAGAUAUAAGUGAAGCACAUAGAGUAUUCUAAUAAUUUCUGAAUCAUGUGUGUCUCUCUCAAAAGUUGUGUACAGCAAGGAUGAUUGUGGUAAACUAAAAAGCAAAGACUCAAAUAAUACAAGAUGCUCCAAGAAAAACACAUAUCAUGUGGUGAAUAAAAAUAUAGCUCCAACUAAAGUUGCCGAUGGAAGUAGACGAAAGAGGGGAUGCCUUCCGGGGCAUUCCCAAGCUUUGGCUUUUAGGUGUCCUUAGAUUAUCUUGGGGUGCCAUGGGCAUCCCCAAUCUUAGGCUCUUCCCACUCCUUGUUCCAUAAUACAUCAAAUCUUUCACCCAAAACUUGAAAAUUUCACAACACAAAACUUAGCAGAAAAUCUCGUGAGCUCCGUUAGCGAAAGAAAACAAAAGACCACUUCAAGGUACUGUAAUGAACUCAUUCUUUAUUUAUAUUGGUGUUAAACCUACUGUAUUCCAACUUCUCUAUGGUUUAUAAACUAUUUUACUAGCCAUAGACUCAUCAAAAUAAGCAAACAACACAUGAAAAACAGAAUCUGUCAAAAACAGAACAGUCUGUAGUAAUCUGUAACUAACGCAAACUUCUGGAACUCCAAAAUAUUAGCCAAAAUAGGAAGACCUAGACAAUUUGUUUAUUGAUCAGCAGCAAUUGGAAUCAAUAUUUUAUCACGUUCUGGUGAUUUUUAAGAAUUAUUUUCGUGAACAGAAAGUUUCUGGAAUUUUCUGCAAGAUCAAAUAACUAUCAUCCAAGAAGAUCCUAUUGGUUUAACUUGGCACAAACGCUAAUUAAAACAUAAAAACACAUCUAACCAGAGGCUAGAUCAAAUAUUUAUUCCUAAACAGAAGCAAAAGGCAAAAAAAUACUAAAAAUAAAAUUGGGUUGCCCCCCAACAAGCGCUAUCGUUUAAUGCCCUUAGCUAGGCAUAAAAGCAAGGAUAGAUCUAGGUAUUGCCAUCUUUGGUUGGCAAUCCAUAAG